This 774-nucleotide ribosomal RNA is filed under the name uncultured Neocallimastigales. Its description in RNAcentral is "partial large subunit ribosomal RNA". It matches the Rfam family "Eukaryotic large subunit ribosomal RNA", at positions 23 to 634 of the family's 3401-position model. Lineage: Eukaryota; Fungi; Neocallimastigomycota; Neocallimastigomycetes; Neocallimastigales. The record is from RNAcentral.
AGAGAGAGACAUGCGCGCAUAUCAAUAAGCGGAGGAAAAGAAACUAACAAGGAUUCCCUUAGUAACGGCGAGUGAAGCGGGAAGAGCUCAAAUUUGAAAUCUUCAAGGUUUUACCUUGACGAAUUGUAGUUUAAAGAAGUGUUUUCUGCUGAAGUUUUGGUAAAAGUUCUUUGGAAUAGGACAUCAUAGAGGGUGAGAAUCCCGUAUUUGACCAUUAUUUUCAGCUUUGUGAUACACUUCCAAAGAGUCGGAUUGUUUGGGAAUGCAGUCCAAAAUGGGUGGUAAAUUUCAUCUAAAGCUAAAUAUUGGCGAGAGACCGAUAGCGAACAAGUACCGUGAGGGAAAGAUGAAAAGAACUUUGAAAAGAGAGUUAAACAGUACGUGAAAUUGUCAAAAGGGAAGCGUUUGACACCAGUGUUGUUUUCUCGAAAAUCAAUUAAAAAUGGCUCGAUUUUGUAUUGCUGAGACCUUAAAAGCUCACUGUACAUUUUCCGUGUCUUUUUUAAUGCACUUUUCGUUUAACAAGUCAACAUCAGUUUCUUUUGUUGUAAAAGGGUCAUUGGAAGGUGGCUUUCUUUUCGGAGAAAGUGUUUAUAGCCUUUGGCCUCUGCAAUCGGAGAGACUGAGGUCUGCAGCGUAGACUCUUCGGGGUUAGAUACAUUUGUGCUAAGUUAUAGCUUUUUAUAGACAACUUGUUGACUAUAAUUAGUCUUGUAGCUUACUCGCUUAUGCUAUUUUACCUACGCUUAGGAUGUUGAAGAUGUAGCACAUCAU